AUGCGCACGCCCGAUCCUCUGGACGACACAGAUCAACCCCCGGAUCACAAAAUCAGCUCCGGUCGAAACCCUGCGCAAAAUAUCCCCCAAUUAUCGCCGACAUUCACGGAAAGGACGGAGAUAGCGGCUGUGACGACGCCGAAAUCCAUGCCGCUGCGGCGGGCAAAUUGGGACGCUCGUCGGCGAUGUCGCGUCCGGCGUUGCUCUACCUGGCUCUGCUCGUUGAGGAUGUGCGGGCCGCCGUCCUUGAAGGCAGACGUUCUGGCCAUGGUGAUGGGAGCUGCGUGUGCCGUCGCCCCUGAUGGCAGGCGCGGUGGUCGGGAAACGGUGGCUGCGUGUGAUACGGUGACGGCGGGUCGGGAGACGGCGUCUGCGCGUAAGACGGAGGCUGAGCGGCCUCUGUGUGCUGGAGUUAGCUCCCGCGGCGUGGAGAGGAGCUGCAGCCCGCACAUCGCAAAGGGAUGGAGGCCUCCUUCUCCCAUCCAGUUGCUGAUUUCAUGUGGGAUGUAUGACAUUUUAUAUUAUGAGACACUGGACAUUCCUUUGCCAGAACCGCAAGGUCUGAUAACAUUGAGAGUUGCUUUUCACCAAGUUACACACAAUGAGGUUGAGCUAUCUCAAAGUGAUGCUGAACUUAGCUAUUUCAGGUCAACAAUAACAAGAUAUGGAAGGUACUUGUUGUCUCUGUUGCACCAUGGAAGUUGUAAUUCCUCUAGACUAGAUUUUUACUAUUGA
This 735-nucleotide ribosomal RNA is filed under the name Triticum aestivum (bread wheat). Its description in RNAcentral is "partial small subunit ribosomal RNA". The record is from RNAcentral. Lineage: Eukaryota; Viridiplantae; Streptophyta; Magnoliopsida; Poales; Poaceae.